GUGCUUGCUUUGGCAGCACGUAUACUAAAAUUGGAAAAAUAUGGAGAAGAUUAACAUGGCCCCUAUGCAAGGAUGACACGUAAAUUCGUGAAGCAUUCCAUUUAUUU
Molecule: small nuclear RNA, 107 nt
Organism: Pongo abelii (Sumatran orangutan)
Lineage: Eukaryota; Metazoa; Chordata; Mammalia; Primates; Hominidae
Source: Ensembl